GGGGAUUUAGCUCAGCGGUAGAGCGCGUGCCUAGCAAGCGCAAGGCCCUGGGUUCGGUCCCCAGCUCUG
RNAcentral lists this transfer RNA (69 nucleotides) under Rattus norvegicus (Norway rat). It matches the Rfam family "tRNA". From Rfam's summary of the family: Transfer RNA (tRNA) molecules are approximately 80 nucleotides in length. Their secondary structure includes four short double-helical elements and three loops (D, anti-codon, and T loops). Lineage: Eukaryota; Metazoa; Chordata; Mammalia; Rodentia; Muridae. The record is from Rfam by way of RNAcentral.